Molecule: non-coding RNA, 1222 nt
Filed under: Oryctolagus cuniculus (rabbit)
Lineage: Eukaryota; Metazoa; Chordata; Mammalia; Lagomorpha; Leporidae
Source: Rfam by way of RNAcentral
AAACAAAAAGGUUUGGUCCUGGCCUUUUGACUAUUUUAUAGCAAAUUUACACAUGCGACUCCCCGCACCAGUGAGAAUGCCCUUUAUAUCAAGCUACGUGAAGAGGACCAGGCAUUAAGCACACUAAGCAGUAGCUCACGAUGCCUUGCUUAACCACGCCCCCAAAGGAUGCAGCAUUGAUAAAAAUUUAGCAAUGAAUAAAAGUUUGACUGAUUUAUGCUAUGAUAGGAUUGGUAAAUUUCAUGCCAGUCACUGUGGUCAUACGAUUAACCCAAAUUAAUAAACACUCAGCAUAAAGCGUGAUUAGGAGUAAAUAAAAAUAAAAUCAAAUACUAACUAAGCUGUAAAAAGUAAUAGUUAUCAACAAAAAUAACCAACGACAGUGAUUUUACAACCUCCGAACUCACUGGGCAGCUAAGACCCAAACUGGGAUUAGAUACCUCACUAUGCUUAGCCCUAAACCUUAAUAAUUCCAUAAAAAAAUUCUCCAGAGAACUACAAGUCAGAGCUUUAAACUCAAUGGUCUUGGUGGUGCAUUUUAUCCACCUAGAGGAGCCUAUUCUAUAAUCAAUAAACCCCGAUAACCCUUUCCACUCUUUGCCAACUCAGUCCAUACACCGCAAACUUCAGGGAUCCUUAAAAAGGAACAUAGUAAGCUUAAUUAUACUCAUAAAAACGUUAGGUCAAAGUGUAGCCUACAGAGUGGAAAGCAAUGGGCUACAUUUUCUACUACAGAACAUUUAUGAAAGCCCCUAUGAAAUGUUAAGGGCUAAAGGAGGAUUUAGAAGUAAAUUAAGAAUAGAGGGUGUCUCUGCUGUGGCCCAGGAGGACGGUGGAGGAUGGCCCAAGUGCUUGGGCGCCUGCACCUGCAUAGGAGACCAGGAAGAAGCACCUGUCUCCUGGCUUCGGCUUGCACAACACUGGCCAUAGCAGCCUUUUAGUGGGUGAACCAAAGGAAGAAAGACCUUUCUCUCUGUCUCUUUCUCUCUCUCUCUCUCUCACUAUCUAAAACUCUACCUGUCAAACAAACAAACAAAAAAAGAAUUUAGAAAAAAAAAAAGAAUAGAGAGCUUAAUUGAACCAGGCCAUGAAGCAUGCACACACUGCCCAUCUCCCUCCUCAAAUACUGUAUAAAUUCUUAUACAUAAUUACAAAAUAAACCAGUGUAAGAGAAAUGUAACAAGGUAAGCAUACUGGAAAGUGUGCUUGGAUAAUUCAGAGU